This 344-nucleotide long non-coding RNA is filed under the name Oryza brachyantha (malo sina). RNAcentral describes it as "long non-coding RNA (OBRA_LNC000898)". Lineage: Eukaryota; Viridiplantae; Streptophyta; Magnoliopsida; Poales; Poaceae. The record is from RNAcentral.
UGGGUUGGGAUGAUUCCACCAUUAAUUUUCCCUUGAUUUUUCGUCUCUGAUGAUCUGAUCUAGUUUGAACAGCAGGAAAUAAACGCUUCGUCAGCAACUGGAUUGAUCUUCAUUACUCUCCCGUCACAAUUUUGACCAGACUAGGAACCUGCUGAUCAUCAAAUGAAUCGUUAGCAUACUUGCAUAUUGGGCUCGAUACGAAAAUACAAAUCAUUACCUGGUGGAAUUCGUCCCAAAUUCCAGUUAAUUUUGAUUGCAAUUCGAAGGAGAGACAAAAAUAUUCACAAAAUCCUACAGAGAUUCCACCAUUCAGGUGGUUCAAAAGGGGAUUUUUCACAAUAAUU